CAGGUAAAGAGGCCAUGCUGCUAGCUAGUUGGCUACGAGCUAAGCUAAGUAGUGAAACAGCAAAGACACAGAGUGACUACUGUGACUAUAAAUUAGGUAGUGAGUACACAGGGAGUGUGCUUCGGAUGAAGCAUGUGAAGAUUAUACUAUGAAAAAAGAAGGCAUCUACAGUAAGUUAUCUAAAAGAUUUAAAUUGCUAUGCAGAUAAGCCACUCAAAAACACCACUGUGUGUUGGAACAGGACGUGAUACUCUACCACAGAGAGAGCGAACACCAAGUGACAGGGUGGCCCCUUUUCGAGCAACAGUUGGAGCCCAUCAGGGAUUGAACCCAGAACCUUUUGCACCCAAGCCAAGAAACAGACCCCUGACCAACAAGCUACAUAUUGCGAGUGGCAGUGCUCUCAGAUGCUUGGUUAUUUUGGUAAUAUGCUUACUGUCUUUAAAUCAGAAAGCUAAUCUUUCACAUACACAGUAAUAAUGAAGUUGCCGUCCUCCACUGCUUUAUGUUGGCAGGUCCUGUGUAGAAAGAAUCUGACUGGACGUUGUUACUGGAAGGUGGAGUAGAGAGGGUUGAAGUUGCAGUCACAUACGAGAAUGAAGAACAUCAGUGUAGAUUUGAAAUGAAUGAUAAAAUAAAGGUGAAACACACUGUACUGUAAAAAUGACUUAUUACACACGUGCAAUGCAGGCUGUAAUAUAGAUAGCAGAUAAUUUAUCUGAAUUUCAGGAGCGGGACCACUUCUCCAAACAUGCCCCUUCCGGGUCUUAUCUAUAUUUGACCCCCCAGUUCAUUUUUGUUGCCCACCCUCCCUGCCCUUUUUUCAAUUCUUUCACUUCUUCACUACUUGUUAGGGUACCUGGGUCUGGUGACCCAGUGGUUUUGAUUUUGUUUGUGCAUAUUCUGACUUACUGUUUCUAUUAUUUAGUUUUGUAUUUCUAGCUUCCUAAGUUCUUUAGUAUGUCCUGAUUUCCAGUCUUAGGUUUUGUUUACAGUCUUCCCUAUGUUCAGUGUUAUGCCUUUUUCAUGUUUCUGUCUCAGUGUCAGGUUUGCAUUGCUGUGUUAUGUUUCCUGUUUUACUUUGACAGUCUGCAUCUAUUGAGGUGCUGGAUGUAUUACUCAAGGUCCUUACCUUCCAUCUUUCUAUAUAUGUAUAUAAUAUGUAAAUCUCCAAUCAACCAAUUUCAGUGGGCCAAUCUGAAUUAAACUUUACAUGAACAUUGUCACACAUGCAGUGAAUAUUAAAAUCUAUAUGUUAAAAAACAAACAAAAAAACUGUUAUCCCAAUUCUUUGGAUUCUUGGAGUUACAGAUUUAUCAUUGCCCUACAAAUGUGAUUUUAUGUAACAUUUUCAUUUGUAAAAAGUAAAGAAUGAAGACGCUGUUAAAGCACUGCACACCUGACAGUUAAUUAUUCUGUUAACAAGAACAUCUACAUCAUUUGUGGUAUCAUUACUGAGGAGGAGGAGGCUGGUUUUGG
This 1479-nucleotide long non-coding RNA is filed under the name Oreochromis niloticus (Nile tilapia). RNAcentral's name for it is "lncRNA (ENSONIG00000022352.2)". The record is from RNAcentral. Lineage: Eukaryota; Metazoa; Chordata; Actinopteri; Cichliformes; Cichlidae.